RNAcentral lists this ribosomal RNA (468 nucleotides) under uncultured bacterium. RNAcentral's name for it is "bacterial SSU rRNA". It matches the Rfam family "Bacterial small subunit ribosomal RNA", at positions 355 to 825 of the family's 1533-position model. The record is from RNAcentral.
UAAGGAAUAUUGGUCAAUGGAGGCAACUCUGAACCAGCCAUGCCGCGUGCAGGAUGAAGGCCCUAUGGGUCGUAAACUGCUUUUAUACCAGAGAAAACCCCAGUACGUGUACUGGGUUGAUAGUAUGGUAAGAAUAAGCAUCGGCUAACUUCGUGCCAGCAGCCGCGGUAAGACGAAGGGGGCUAGCGUUGUUCGGAAUUACUGGGCGUAAAGCGCGCGUAGGCGGCUUUGCAAGCCAGAGGUGAAAUGCCUGAGCUCAACUUAGGAAUUGCCUUUGGGACUGCGAGGCUUCGAGGACUGGAGAGGUGAGUGGAAUUCCCAGUGUAGAGGUGAAAUUCGUAGAUAUUGGGAGGAACACCAGUGGCGAAGGCGACUUGCUGGACUUAUGGUGACGCUGAGACGCGAAAGCGUGGGGAGCAAACAGGAUUAGAUACCCAAGUAGUCCCUGAGCGGGCUGGCAAGGCGCAU